Molecule: long non-coding RNA, 117 nt
Organism: Protopterus annectens (West African lungfish)
Lineage: Eukaryota; Metazoa; Chordata; Ceratodontiformes; Protopteridae
Exons: 2
Source: RefSeq, a predicted model, not a curated record
GAGAUAUUAAAUCAAAAUGCAGACAAAAAAUGAGAAUAAACACUUAUCUUUUCUCAAUAUCACAGCUAGCAGUAGGUCAAUCUCUCUGCAGCAGCCUGAGCAACAGGUAUAUGUGAU